This 446-nucleotide ribosomal RNA is filed under the name uncultured bacterium. Its description in RNAcentral is "bacterial SSU rRNA". It matches the Rfam family "Bacterial small subunit ribosomal RNA", at positions 29 to 496 of the family's 1533-position model. The record is from RNAcentral.
AACGAACGCUGGCGGCAGGCCUAACACAUGCAAGUCGAACGCCGUAGCAAUACGGAGUGGCAGACGGGUGAGUAACGCGUGGGAACCUACCUUACGGUCGGGAAUAGCUCAGGGAAACUUGGGGUAAUACCGGAUAAGCCCUUACGGGGAAAGAUUUAUCGCCGUUAGAUGGGCCCGCGUAGGAUUAGCUAGUUGGUGAGGUAAUGGCUCACCAAGGCGACGAUCCUUAGCUGGUCUGAGAGGAUGAUCAGCCACACUGGGACUGAGACACGGCCCAGACUCCUACGGGAGGCAGCAGUAGGGAAUAUUGGACAAUGGGGGCAACCCUGAUCCAGCCAUGCCGCGUGAGUGAAGAAGGCCCUCGGGUUGUAAAGCUCUUUUGUCCGGAAAGAAAGCAAUCGGUUAAUACCCGGUUGUUCUGACGGUACCGGAAGAAUAAGCACCGG